RNAcentral lists this ribosomal RNA (466 nucleotides) under Vreelandella stevensii. RNAcentral describes it as "partial 16S ribosomal RNA". It matches the Rfam family "Bacterial small subunit ribosomal RNA", at positions 338 to 795 of the family's 1533-position model. Lineage: Bacteria; Pseudomonadati; Pseudomonadota; Gammaproteobacteria; Oceanospirillales; Halomonadaceae. The record is from RNAcentral.
CCUACGGGAGGGCAGCAGUGGGGAAUAUUGGACAAUGGGGGGAACCCUGAUCCAGCCAUGCCGCGUGUGUGAAGAAGGCCCUCGGGUUGUAAAGCACUUUCAGUGAGGAAGAACGCCUGGUGGUUAAUACCCAUCAGGAAAGACAUCACUCACAGAAGAAGCACCGGCUAACUCCGUGCCAGCAGCCGCGGUAAUACGGAGGGUGCGAGCGUUAAUCGGAAUUACUGGGCGUAAAGCGCGCGUAGGUGGCUUGAUAAGCCGGUUGUGAAAGCCCCGGGCUCAACCUGGGAACGGCAUCCGGAACUGUCAAGCUAGAGUGCAGGAGAGGAAGGUAGAAUUCCCGGUGUAGCGGUGAAAUGCGUAGAGAUCGGGAGGAAUACCAGUGGCGAAGGCGGCCUUCUGGACUGACACUGACACUGAGGUGCGAAAGCGUGGGUAGCAAACAGGAUUAGAUACCCUAGUAGUC